This 468-nucleotide ribosomal RNA is filed under the name uncultured bacterium. RNAcentral describes it as "partial 16S ribosomal RNA". It matches the Rfam family "Bacterial small subunit ribosomal RNA", at positions 28 to 507 of the family's 1533-position model. The record is from RNAcentral.
GACGAACGCUGGCGGCGUGCUUAACACAUGCAAGUCGAACGGAAAGGCCCUGCUUUUGUGGGGUGCUCGAGUGGCGAACGGGUGAGUAACACGUGAGUAACCUGCCCUUGACUUUGGGAUAACUUCAGGAAACUGGGGCUAAUACCGGAUAGGAGCUCCUGCUGCAUUGUGGGGGUUGGAAAGUUUCGGCGGUUGGGGAUGGACUCGCGGCUUAUCAGCUUGUUGGUGGGGUAGUGGCUUACCAAGGCUUUUACGGGUAGCCGGCCUGAGAGGGUGACCGGCCACAUUGGGACUGAGAUACGGCCCAGACUCCUACGGGAGGCAGCAGUGGGGAAUAUUGCACAAUGGGCGGAAGCCUGAUGCAGCAACGCCGCGUGCGGGAUGACGGCCUUCGGGUUGUAACCCGCUUUCGCCUGUGACGAAGCGUGAGUGACGGUAAUGGGUAAAGAAGCACCGGCUAACUACGUG